RNAcentral lists this ribosomal RNA (559 nucleotides) under uncultured stramenopile. RNAcentral describes it as "LSU rRNA". It matches the Rfam family "Eukaryotic large subunit ribosomal RNA", at positions 674 to 1236 of the family's 3401-position model. The record is from RNAcentral.
UCUAACAUGUGUGCAAGUGUUAGGGAUCAAGUCCCAAGCGCGAAAUUAACGUAAAGUGCUGAGAUAGGAAGCUUCGGCUGCACCAUCGACCGACCAUGAUCCUUCGAGUGAAAGGUUUGAGUGUGAGCAUACAUGUUGGGACCCGAAAGAUGGUGAACUAUGCUUGAGUAGGACGAAGCCAGGGGAAACUCUGGUGGAGGUCCGUAGCGAUUCUAACGUGCAAAUUGAUCGUCGAACUUGAGUAUAGGGGCGAAAGACUAAUCGAACCAUCUAGUAGCUGGUUCCUCCCGAAAUUUCCCUUAGGAUAGCUGCAACCGAACAGUUUUAUCAGGUAAAGCGAAUGAUUAGAGGACUCAGGAAUGAAAUGUUCUUGACCUAUUCUCAAACUUUAAAUGGGUAAGAGCCCCAAGUUGCUUAAUUGAACUUGGCGGUCGAAUAACAGUUGCUAGUGGGCCAAUCUGGGUAAGCUAGAUUGGCGAUGCGGGAUGCUCCGAACGUUAAGUUAAAGUGCCAAAGUAUCCGCUAACCUAGAUCCCACAAAAGGUGUUGGUUCAUCUAG